Molecule: ribosomal RNA, 506 nt
Filed under: uncultured bacterium
Lineage: Bacteria
Description: partial 16S ribosomal RNA
Rfam family: Bacterial small subunit ribosomal RNA
Source: RNAcentral
AGUGAACGCUGGCGGUAGGCCUAACACAUGCAAGUCGAACGGCAGCACAGAGGAGCUUGCUCCUUGGGUGGCGAGUGGCGGACGGGUGAGGAAUACAUCGGAAUCUACUCUGUCGUGGGGGAUAACGUAGGGAAACUUACGCUAAUACCGCAUACGACCUACGGGUGAAAGCAGGGGACCUUCGGGCCUUGCGCGAUUGAAUGAGCCGAUGUCGGAUUAGCUAGUUGGCGGGGUGAAGGCCCACCAAGGCGACGAUCCGUAGCUGGUCUGAGAGGAUGAUCAGCCACACUGGAACUGAGACACGGUCCAGACUCCUACGGGAGGCAGCAGUGGGGAAUAUUGGACAAUGGGCGCAAGCCUGGUCCAGCCAUACCGCGUGGGUGAAGAAGGCCUUCGGGUUGUAAAGCCCUUUUGUUGGGAAAGGAAUCCAGCUGGCUAAUACCCGGUUGGGAUGACGGUACCCAAAGAAUAAGCACCGGCUAACUUCGUGCCAGCCGCCGCCGUAA